RNAcentral lists this ribosomal RNA (253 nucleotides) under uncultured bacterium. RNAcentral describes it as "partial 16S ribosomal RNA". It matches the Rfam family "Bacterial small subunit ribosomal RNA", at positions 524 to 776 of the family's 1533-position model. The record is from RNAcentral.
UACAGAGGUGGCAAGCGUUGUUCGGAAUUACUGGGCGUAAAGGGCGCGUAGGCGGCCUUCUAAGUCAGACGUGAAAUCCCCCGGCUUAACCUGGGAACUGCGUCUGAUACUGGGAGGCUAGAGUAUGGGAGAGGGAUGUAGAAUUCCAGGUGUAGCGGUGAAAUGCGUAGAUAUCUGAAGGAAUACCGGUGGCGAAGGCGGCAUCCUGGACCAUUACUGACGCUGAGGCGCGAAAGCUAGGGGAGCAAACGGG